CCUACGGGAGGCAGCAGUGGGGAAUAUUGGACAAUGGGCGAAAGCCUGAUCCAGCAAUGCCGCGUGAGUGAUGAAGGCCUUAGGGUUGUAAAGCUCUUUUACCCGGGAUGAUAAUGACAGUACCGGGAGAAUAAGCUCCGGCUAACUCCGUGCCAGCAGCCGCGGUAAUACGGAGGGAGCUAGCGUUAUUCGGAAUUACUGGGCGUAAAGCGCACGUAGGCGGCUUUGUAAGUAAGAGGUGAAAGCCCAGAGCUCAACUCUGGAAUUGCCUUUUAGACUGCAUCGCUUGAAUCAUGGAGAGGUCAGUGGAAUUCCGAGUGUAGAGGUGAAAUUCGUAGAUAUUCGGAAGAACACCAGUGGCGAAGGCGGCUGACUGGACAUGUAUUGACGCUGAGGUGCGAAAGCAUGGGGAGCAAACAGGAUUAGAUACCCUGGUAGUCCACGCCGUAAACGAUGAUAACUAGCUGUCCGGACACUUGGUGUUUGGGUGGCGCAGCUAACGCAUUAAGUUAUCCGCCUGGGGAGUACGGCCGCAAGGUUAAAACUCAAAAUGAAUUGACGG
This 562-nucleotide ribosomal RNA is filed under the name uncultured bacterium. RNAcentral describes it as "bacterial SSU rRNA". It matches the Rfam family "Bacterial small subunit ribosomal RNA", at positions 338 to 916 of the family's 1533-position model. The record is from RNAcentral.